This 73-nucleotide transfer RNA is filed under the name Branchiostoma floridae (Florida lancelet). RNAcentral's name for it is "tRNA-Phe (GAA) (tRNA-Phe-GAA-6-1)". It matches the Rfam family "tRNA". Rfam says of the family: Transfer RNA (tRNA) molecules are approximately 80 nucleotides in length. Their secondary structure includes four short double-helical elements and three loops (D, anti-codon, and T loops). Further hydrogen bonds mediate the characteristic L-shaped molecular structure. tRNAs have two regions of fundamental functional importance: the anti-codon, which is responsible for specific mRNA codon recognition, and the 3' end, to which the tRNAs corresponding amino acid is attached (by aminoacyl-tRNA synthetases). tRNAs cope with the degeneracy of the genetic code in two manners: having more than one tRNA (with a specific anti-codon) for a particular amino acid; and 'wobble' base-pairing, i.e. permitting non-standard base-pairing at the 3rd anti-codon position. Lineage: Eukaryota; Metazoa; Chordata; Leptocardii; Amphioxiformes; Branchiostomatidae. The record is from RNAcentral.
GCCUCGAUAGCUCAGUUGGGAGAGCGUUAGACUGAAGAUCUAAAGGUCCCUGGUUCAAUCCCGGGUCGCGGCA